GAUGUAGCUCAGUGGCAGAGUGCUUGCUUGAUAUGCAGGAGGCCCUGGGCUCAAUUCUCAACAUC
This 65-nucleotide transfer RNA is filed under the name Fukomys damarensis (Damara mole-rat). It matches the Rfam family "tRNA". From Rfam's summary of the family: Transfer RNA (tRNA) molecules are approximately 80 nucleotides in length. Their secondary structure includes four short double-helical elements and three loops (D, anti-codon, and T loops). Further hydrogen bonds mediate the characteristic L-shaped molecular structure. tRNAs have two regions of fundamental functional importance: the anti-codon, which is responsible for specific mRNA codon recognition, and the 3' end, to which the tRNAs corresponding amino acid is attached (by aminoacyl-tRNA synthetases). tRNAs cope with the degeneracy of the genetic code in two manners: having more than one tRNA (with a specific anti-codon) for a particular amino acid; and 'wobble' base-pairing, i.e. permitting non-standard base-pairing at the 3rd anti-codon position. Lineage: Eukaryota; Metazoa; Chordata; Mammalia; Rodentia; Bathyergidae. The record is from Rfam by way of RNAcentral.